GAGUUUGAUCCUGGCUCAGAACGAACGCUGGCGGCGUGCCUAACACAUGCAAGUCGAACGGGAUUAGGGGCUUGCUCCUAAUCUAGUGGCGCACGGGUGAGUAACGCGUAGAUAAUCUGCCUGACGAUCUGGGAUAACACUUCGAAAGAGGUGCUAAUACCGGAUAAGCCCACGGGCUCUUUGGAGCUUGCGGGAAAAGGUGGCCUCUAUUUAUAAGCUACUGUAUCAGGAUGGGUCCGCGUACCAUUAGCUAGUUGGCGGUGUAACGAACCACCAAGGCGACGAUGGUUAGCUGGUCUGAGAGGAUGGUCAGCCACACUGGAACUGAGACACGGUCCAGACUCCUACGGGAGGCAGCAGUGGGGAAUUUUGCGCAAUGGGGGAAACCCUGACGCAGCAACGCCGCGUGAGUGAUGAAGGCCUUUGGGUCGUAAAGCUCUGUCAGAGGGGAAGAAAUGAUAUAGUGCUAAUACCACUUUAUCUUGACGGUACCCUCAAAGGAAGCACCGGCUAACUCCGUGCCAGCAGCCGCGGUAAUAC
RNAcentral lists this ribosomal RNA (540 nucleotides) under uncultured Geobacteraceae bacterium. RNAcentral describes it as "bacterial SSU rRNA". It matches the Rfam family "Bacterial small subunit ribosomal RNA", at positions 9 to 526 of the family's 1533-position model. The record is from RNAcentral. Lineage: Bacteria; Pseudomonadati; Thermodesulfobacteriota; Desulfuromonadia; Geobacterales; Geobacteraceae.